RNAcentral lists this long non-coding RNA (355 nucleotides) under Canis lupus familiaris (dog). Its description in RNAcentral is "lncRNA (ENSCAFG00000053441.1, ENSCAFG00805010632.1, ENSCAFG00845008399.1)". The record is from RNAcentral. Lineage: Eukaryota; Metazoa; Chordata; Mammalia; Carnivora; Canidae.
CUCAUAGAGGCAGCUGGUAGAAAGAAGGGGAUAAUCUUAACUACGAAUCUGAAUCUUGAACUUUCCGAAGAGAGGAUCUGGGCUUCAGAGUUCUUACCAGAGACAUGAUUUUCAUUACAAAGUACCUUCUGUGCUGGCUGUUGUCUACCAAGAGGUUCUCUUAGAGUGGGAAAGAAUUGUCUUCAGGAAAGGGUUGUUUCUACUCUAUUAAUAUUGUGCCUGGAGUUUACUUCCUGAGAGUAAGUAUAUCUGUUCUAAGCUCUAAAAACCUGUGCAUACAGAGGAUACAUUCAGAGGUUCUUGAAGGAAAUUUUGUGUAAGUUCCUUGAUCUUCCUGGCAAAAGCUGCAGUACUU